Trichobilharzia regenti is the source of this 48-nucleotide non-coding RNA. The record is from Rfam. NCBI's taxonomy places the organism in Eukaryota, Metazoa, Platyhelminthes, Trematoda, Strigeidida, Schistosomatidae.
AUCUAGAUGAUGAGUCCUGAAUAGGACGAAAUGCGCAUCCUGGUGGAU